AGCUUUGCGCAGUGGCAGUAUCGUAGCCAAUGAGGUUUAUCCGAGGCGCGAUUAUUGCUAAUUAAAAGCUAAAUAACACCAUUUUUCCCCUAUCUUACAGUGAUAAGGUGAUUAGACUUACUCCCAAUACAGAAGAAG
Lutra lutra (Eurasian river otter) is the source of this 138-nucleotide small nuclear RNA. RefSeq annotates it as U4 spliceosomal RNA. The transcript has a single exon. Lineage: Eukaryota; Metazoa; Chordata; Mammalia; Carnivora; Mustelidae. The record is from RefSeq and is a predicted model, not a curated record.